UCUGGGUGGCAGUGUGGUUAGCUGGUUGUCUGAAAUAAAGAACAACCGCUAUCAUCACUGCCGUCCCGGU
Syphacia muris is the source of this 70-nucleotide non-coding RNA. The record is from Rfam. Lineage: Eukaryota; Metazoa; Nematoda; Chromadorea; Rhabditida; Oxyuridae.